AUUCAUGUCAAAAAUUAAAAACUGGACAGUAAAAACAAUAGUUUAAAAUCUAAAGAUCUUGGCGGUGCUUUCAUCCUAUCAGGGGAACCUGUUCCUUAAUUCGAUAAUCCACGAAUAAUCAUCCCACCCCUAGAAAUUCCAGCCUGUGUACUGCCGUCCAAAGCAUACUUCUAAGAAGUAUACAACCAUAAUAUUAACUUACUAUACAUGUCAGGUCAAAGUACAGCUCAUGGGGUGGAGGUAAUGGGUUACAACCAUAAUAUAGACACCAAAUCAAGCUCAAAAACUUGAAAUAAAGGCGGACUUGACAGUAAUAGCUAGAAUAUAAAUCAGCUAUGAAAAAAAUCU
This 348-nucleotide ribosomal RNA is filed under the name Naididae sp. N2. Its description in RNAcentral is "partial small subunit ribosomal RNA". It matches the Rfam family "Bacterial small subunit ribosomal RNA", at positions 874 to 1374 of the family's 1533-position model. The record is from RNAcentral. Lineage: Eukaryota; Metazoa; Annelida; Clitellata; Tubificida; Naididae.